This 1044-nucleotide long non-coding RNA is filed under the name Coturnix japonica (Japanese quail). RNAcentral's name for it is "lncRNA (ENSCJPG00005003065.1)". The record is from RNAcentral. Lineage: Eukaryota; Metazoa; Chordata; Aves; Galliformes; Phasianidae.
GUUGACUAUUCUCUCAUGCUUUGGAACAUCUGCUGAUGAUUUAAAAAAAAAAAAAAAGAAAAUCUGUUGACUGUGGCUGGUAGGAAGUAAAUACAGGUUGUUUUUUGUGUCACUGAUGUUGUAUCUUUGGAGGAUUAUAUAUGCCAGUUGCUUGACUUCAAGGAAAAUUUUUGCAGCGAGAUGAUGACACAGACGUAGUAUUGAGCUAAUAUAUAUGUAUAUCAAGAGCAUUGUAGAAAAUGGCAAUUACUACAGAAGUAUUUGCUUUCCAUUGGACUAAAGCUUAUGAGGAAUCCUUUAAAAGAAACUCUUCUGCUAUAUCUAAAUGCAGAGGAGUUCUUCGUGUCGUGUCAGAUGAGGGCAUAUUGACUGACCAUCUAAUUACACUGUCAUUAAUACUGACAGGGAACCAAAGGAAAAGAGGUACCAAGCUAUUCAAGCUAUUGCAGAGACACCUUGCUGCCUGGGGAAGUCAGCUGCUGGUGAACCUGUGUGCAUGGGUGAUUUACACUGCCAGAAUUAGUGUAGAAAUGACAUGAUGAGUAGCUGCUUUUCAGUAGGCUGCCCAUAUCAGGAAAUGGAAGAGCAAGAAGUUCAGGGGCAAGAGGCUCAUUUUAGGCUGGAAGCUGGUAACAAAAUAUGGCUUUGGUGUGUAUCUUUCUUUUACAUUUGUAUGAAAUCUGGCUAAUUUUUCAUUCCUGCUACAAUUUGGUAAAAAUCCAUUUAGGACUCACUUUUCCCAACUAAAACUGAAGGUAAGUCUGACCUCCUUACAGUGAAUAUUUUGAAUAUUGAUUGAUUAGGCUGUUUAAUGAAAGAAAGCAUGUGAUUUAUUUAAAAAAAACAGAGUACAAAACCAGAUAAUGUAAGACAAUAGUUAAUGAUUUAAUCUGCUUCAGUUCUAAAACCUGAUAUACCGAAAUGAAACACAACACUUAUUUAUGUUAAGGUGUCUUGCUUUACUUUCUCUUUUUUAGUAUUGCUUACCCUUUAUAUGUACCUAGGAACAAUAAUCUCAAUAAACAAGCAAUUGCAAUGAAAGCA